GCUUCCAUAAUAGAGUGGUAGCAUGUUUGCUUUUUAAGCGAAAGGUCAUGAGUUCAGUCCUUGUUGGGAACU
RNAcentral lists this transfer RNA (72 nucleotides) under Ipomoea nil (Japanese morning glory). It matches the Rfam family "tRNA". From Rfam's summary of the family: Transfer RNA (tRNA) molecules are approximately 80 nucleotides in length. Their secondary structure includes four short double-helical elements and three loops (D, anti-codon, and T loops). Further hydrogen bonds mediate the characteristic L-shaped molecular structure. tRNAs have two regions of fundamental functional importance: the anti-codon, which is responsible for specific mRNA codon recognition, and the 3' end, to which the tRNAs corresponding amino acid is attached (by aminoacyl-tRNA synthetases). tRNAs cope with the degeneracy of the genetic code in two manners: having more than one tRNA (with a specific anti-codon) for a particular amino acid; and 'wobble' base-pairing, i.e. permitting non-standard base-pairing at the 3rd anti-codon position. The record is from Rfam by way of RNAcentral. Lineage: Eukaryota; Viridiplantae; Streptophyta; Magnoliopsida; Solanales; Convolvulaceae.